This 291-nucleotide long non-coding RNA is filed under the name Trifolium pratense (red clover). RNAcentral's name for it is "long non-coding RNA (TPRA_LNC001917)". The record is from RNAcentral. Lineage: Eukaryota; Viridiplantae; Streptophyta; Magnoliopsida; Fabales; Fabaceae.
UUCAAUUCUCUUAAUUGCUAUAGGUUCAGCUCGUGCAAUUAUUGUAUGCAACACUUUCUGCUAAAUUGCAGAAAGCUAGUUGUGCUACAAUAAUUACACGAGCUAAACCUAAACCUAUAGUUAUACAACUUGAUCAUCUCAUAAGUAAUGAUAAGCUAGUGCACUCAAAUUCAUAGUGCCAAUAACUUAGUGAUUGGACUCGAAUGGUUAAUGAGCUUCACAGUAGGUCAAAUUAAGCAAAAGUAACUUUACUUAUCUACGGCCAAACUUCGAAUUACUAGGGCCUCUUUC